Molecule: small nuclear RNA, 105 nt
Organism: Erinaceus europaeus (western European hedgehog)
Lineage: Eukaryota; Metazoa; Chordata; Mammalia; Eulipotyphla; Erinaceidae
Source: Ensembl
GUGCUCACUUCAACAGCGCACAUACUAACAUUGGAAUGAUACUGAGAUUAGCAUGGCUUCUGCAUGAAAAUGGCAUGCAAAAUUGUGGAAAGGGAAUAACAUUAU